Molecule: long non-coding RNA, 3070 nt
Organism: Cydia pomonella (codling moth)
Lineage: Eukaryota; Metazoa; Arthropoda; Insecta; Lepidoptera; Tortricidae
Exons: 2
Source: RefSeq, a predicted model, not a curated record
UACACUUUGAAGUUUAUUCUAAGACGCAAUAUAUUGAGUAUUUUGUUAUGUUUAAUGUAUGACAAACAACGCCAAUACCAAUGAAAACGGAAGACAAAAUUUAAUUUGUAUGAAAAAUAGGAAGUCUAAACUUCACAAUUUUUAAAAGUUAUUAAACAAAUGUUUGCUUGUGUUACAGGCAACACACGGUAUAUAAUUUUUUUUUUUUUUUUUACCUUUGCGAGGGACUGGAGUCUGAACUAGGUUAGACCUGUAUUACAGAUCUCCAGGCCCUCACCCCGGAAAUACAUACAAAUUAUGACCAUACAAACGUAAUAAAAUAAAAUGUGGAGUGUGGAAUAAAAGGAGGAACAUCUCUAUGUAUGAAAAGUGUCCAUCAAAAAACAUUAAAUAGGCGACGCCACAAUAUACCGAAUUAAAUGUCAUAGACCUAGUAUUUAUAUAGAUGUGCUAUACGCGUGCACCCGUGAGGGACAGAACAUACGCAAAGCGACAAACUUAAAAACACAACUUAACAUUCCUGACAACAUACCCAAAACAACCUACGUAAUUUGGUCGGGUUAUUUGUUGCCCCUCCCCCAUUUCAUCUCUAUAUUAUUAUACCUCUAUGGUUCAUGUAAUCCAUAAGCCUACCUAGCGCCACCGGAGAGAUUAGGAACUAUUAUUUAAACUUGAAAACUGGUCACUUUUGCAAUAGUUCUGCCAUAAGAGAUUUUUCUCCUUUUAAUUCCACACUUCAUAUAACAGAUACCUAUAGUUCGUGUCAUCCACGAUGACGCGCGGGUUUGUCAAAUCUAUUCUUUAAUAACAUGACAUUAAGAGUCAAGGCACGCGUCGUACUUACUUUACUCUUUGCACGCGUCUUCGUCAAUGAAACGAGCUACGAGUACCUAUCAUAAGUACUCGAGAAUAAUAUUUUAACCUCCUAAGACCCUGAGUAUAAAUUUUUCGUCUAUUACUAGCCGACAAACCAGUCUGUCCACCUAGGUGGACGGUUAGUAUUUUCUUUCCGUAACCAACAACCUAGUUGAUUCGUUGUUAAUUUUUUUUCCUUACUGUCUACCUGGUUGGUUGUUAAUAUUUUUUUUUCUUAACUAACUACCUAGUUAGUUUUUUUAAACACUUACAAAAAACCGUUAAAUUGAACAUAAAAAAUCAGAAAUAUUGUUCUUAACACGUUUAUAGUGACAUACAAGUACAUGACGUACAUGAUGAAGUACAUCACGACGAACUGUCUUCACAAGUCUGGGCAACAUGGGUACUAUAACCGUUGUUGGGUCACUAUGGAAGCAAUUUGCUUGGACGUACGAGGAAAUCGGAACAUUUUGUAUGAGAACUGUGAACUGUGAACAUGUUAAAACAAAAGAAUCCCAAUUUUUAUAAUUUAAUUUUAUUUAUUUAUUUCAAAAGACAACAAUGGUCCAUAAUGGUUAGUAACAUUUAAGGUUUAAAACUAAGUGUUAGUACAACAAAUACAAAAAGACAAAAAGAAAAGCGGAAAGUACAGCAACAAUUAAUAACAAACAAUAACAAACAAUCACCUGGUAGCGGUCAUGAUACCCUCAAAAUGUCGCACAACAGGUGAGUCGUAUCGGCCCGCUACCGUAGCCAGGAUGGGGUUGGAGCUGGCCCGCACUCUGCAGAGCAACGAGGCAAUCCUCUUUCUUAUUAUGGCAUAGUAAUCAUCUGUGCGAGCUUGUGCAAACAUGCCCGAUGCGCUGCAGAAGCGGGGCAGCCCCAACAACAUCCUGAAACCAUUAUUAUAUUGGAUGUCUUUUAUGUGAGGUCUAAACGCUGAUUUUUAGGAGUCUGUACUACCACUAAUAUGGUCACAUACACAUACUGAAAUUAACAAUUGGACUAGUGAAAUUUCCAGAUCGUUUUGUAUGUUGGUUGGUAUAUGCAGAUAACCAACCGGCAAAUCAAUCAUAAAAAGUUGGUCGGCUGGUACUAAAAGUUCAUAUUACUAACCAACCAACUAGGCCGAUUGUUGGUUAAGAAAAAAAAAUACUAAGCGUCCACCUAGGUGGACAGACCGGUUUGUCGGCUAGUAAUAGACGAAAUUUUUGUACAUAUUCCAAAAUCUAUUUUGAACUUUUAUUAUGUAAUUAAGGGUUCCAAAUUCACAAACAAAACCAUUGCUUCUGGGUCUCAGGAGGUUAAAUUCAAAAUUAGUAUUUAUUUGCGACGACCGGUCUGGUCUAGUAGGUAGUGACCCUGCCUAUGAAGCUGAUGGUCCCGGGUUCAAAUCCUGGUAAGAGCAUAUAUUUGUGUGAUGAACACGGAUAUUUGUUUCUGAGUCAUGGGUGUUUAUAUAUAUUUAAGUAUUUAUAAUUAUAAUAUAUUAUAUAUAUCGUUGUCUAAGUACCUACAACACAAGCCUUAUUGAGCUUACGGUGGGGCUUAGUCAAUUUGUGUAAUAAUGUCCUAUAAUAUUUAUUUAUUUAUUUAUUAUUUAUUUGCAGUUAUUACGGAAAACCUAUUAAAAUAAUUCCAUAAAUUGAUUAAUAAACAUACAUAACGUAAUGCUUCGCAGUAUUGCGAUUUGUCAUACAGAUUUCCUAUCCUGUGCAUGUAUCAACGUAUGCGUGUAUGUGCAUGUCCCUGUUAAUAAAUACUACAUAAUAUAUAGUGAAUACCGCUGUCAUAUCGAGCAGACGUUGCGCAAAACACGAAAAACGGUCCACAGAAAUAAUUGGUGAAAACUGCACCUCAAUCAUGUUCCUGAAAGCCGUGCUCCUCUGCCUGGCCCUGAGCAUGGUACCCAUCCAGGCUAUGUCAGAUGAAGCCCUGGUAUUCAUCAGCGACCUGGUGCUCGCCGCCCACUUCUCGAGCGACCCUAAUGAAGCUGGCCAGAUUCUUAGCGGAAAUAGCUGCCCAAAAGGCCAGGAAAAAAAAUGUGUCAAGGUUAGCAAAUAUAGCAAAUGUGUAGAAAUUUGUGUACCUAUUGUGAAAAAGGAAGAAAACCUUUAGUAAUUUAGUAAAGACGAUAAAUGAAAAACCCAGACGUGUAAAAUAAAUAUAUUUUUUAGGAAACUUGCAAGGCAAAUUAAAUAAUUAUUUUCACACA